Molecule: ribosomal RNA, 264 nt
Filed under: uncultured archaeon
Lineage: Archaea
Description: partial 16S ribosomal RNA
Rfam family: Archaeal small subunit ribosomal RNA
Source: RNAcentral
ACACGACUACAUUAGAUACCCCUGUAGUCCUAGCCGUAAACGAUACUCGCUAGGUGUCGGCCACGGUGCGACCGUUGUCGGUGCCGUAGGGAAACCGUGAAACGUGCCGCCUGGGAAGUACGGUCGCAAGGCUGAAACUUAAAGGAAUUGGCGGGGAGCACCACAACGGGUGGAGCCUGCGGUUUAAUUGGACUCAACGCCGGGAAGCUCACCGGAUAAGACAGCGGAAUGAUUGCCGGGCUGAAGACUCUGCAUGACUAGCUG